Molecule: ribosomal RNA, 1557 nt
Filed under: uncultured bacterium
Lineage: Bacteria
Description: partial 16S ribosomal RNA
Rfam family: Bacterial small subunit ribosomal RNA
Source: RNAcentral
AGAGUUUGAUCAUGGCUCAGGAUGAACGCUAGCUACAGGCUUAACACAUGCAAGUCGAGGGGCAGCGCGCUGGUGCAGCAAUGCAUUGGUGGCGGCGACCGGCGGAUGGGUGAGUAACGCGUAUCCAACCUGCCCCCGGCCCGGGCACAGCCCAUGGAAACGUGGAUUAACGCCCGAUGCGCCUAAGAGCCGCAUGGCUUUUAGGUGAAACAGGCAGGGGAUGGGGAUGCGUCCCAUUAGGCAGCAGGCGGGGUAACGGCUCACCAUAGCCGACGAUAGCUAGUGGGUCUGAGAGGAAUGACCACCCACACUGGAAGUGGAGACACGGUCCAGACUCCUACGGGAGGCAGCAGUGGGGGAAUAUUGCACAAUGGGCGCAAGCCUGAUGCAGCCCAUGCCGCGUGUAUGAAGAAGGCCUUCGUGUUGUAAAGUACUUUCAGCGGGGAGGAAGGGAGUAAAGUUAAUACCUUUGGUCAUUGACGUUACCCGCAGAAGAAGCACCGGCUAACUCCGUGCCAGCAGCCGCGGUAAUACGGAGGGUGCAAGCGUUAAUCGGAAUUACUGGGCGUAAAGCGCACGCAGGCGGUUUGUUAAGUCAGAUGUGAAAUCCCCGGGCUCAACCUGGGAACUGCAUCUGAUACUGGCAAGCUUGAGUCUCGUAGAGGGGGGUAGAAUUCCAGGUGUAGCGGUGAAAUGCGUAGAGAUCUGGAGGAAUACCGGUGGCGAAGGCGGCCCCCUGGACGAAGACUGACGCUCAGUGCGAAAGCGUGGGGAGCAAACAGGAUUAGAUACCCUGGUAGUCCACGCCGUAAACGAUGUCGACUUGGAGGUUGUGCCCUUGAGGCGUGGCUUCCGGAGCUAACGCGUUAAGUCGACCGCCUGGGGAGUACGGCCGCAAGGUUAAAACUCAAAUGAAUUGACGGGGGCCCGCACAAGCGGAGGAACAUGUGGUUUAAUUCGAUGAUACGCGAGGAACCUUACCUGGGCUUGACAUGCCACGCGCAGAGUCAGAGCUGGAGACGGCUGCCGUCGGAACCUAUCGGGGCGCGGGUGUAGGUGCUGCAUGGUUGUCGUCAGCUCGUGCCGUGAGGUGUCGGCUCAAGUGCCAUAACGAGCGCAACCCCUCUCUCCAGUUGCCAUCGGGCAAUGCCGGGAACUCUGGAGACACUACCAUCGCAAGAUGUGAGGAAGGCGGGGACGACGUCAAAUCAGCACGGCCCUUACGUCCGGGGCUACACACGUGUUACAAUGGGGGGCACAGCGAGUUGGGCGCCGGCGACGGUGUCCGGAUCAAGAAAUCCCCUCCCAGUUCGGACUGGAGCCUGCAACCCGGCUCCACGAAGCUGGAUUCGCUAGUAAUCGCGCAUCAGCCAUGGCGCGGUGAAUACGUUCCCGGGCCUUGUACACACCGCCCGUCAAGCCAUGAAAGUCGGGGGCGCCUGAAGUCCGUUGCCGCGAGGCUCGGCCUAGGGCGAUACCGGUGAUUGGGGCUAAGUCGUAACAAGUAACCGUAAAUCGAAUUCCCGCGCCGCCAUGCGCCGGAGCAUCGACUCGCCA